RNAcentral lists this ribosomal RNA (650 nucleotides) under Drosophila subsilvestris. Its description in RNAcentral is "eukaryotic LSU rRNA". It matches the Rfam family "Eukaryotic large subunit ribosomal RNA", at positions 99 to 634 of the family's 3401-position model. The record is from RNAcentral. Lineage: Eukaryota; Metazoa; Arthropoda; Insecta; Diptera; Drosophilidae.
AGAAAUCAGUUCAGCACUAAGUCACUUUGUCUAUAUGGCAAAUGUGAGAUGCAGUGUAUGGAGCGUCAAUAUUCUAGUAUGAGAAAUUAACGAUUUAAGUCCUUCUUAAAUGAGGCCAUUUACCCAUAGAGGGUGCCAGGCCCGUAUAACGUUAAUGAUUACUAGAUGAUGUUUCCAAAGAGUCGUGUUGCUUGAUAGUGCAGCACUAAGUGGGUGGUAAACUCCAUCUAAAACUAAAUAUAACCAUGAGACCGAUAGUAAACAAGUACCGUGAGGGAAAGUUGAAAAGAACUCUGAAUAGAGAGUUAAACAGUACGUGAAACUGCUUAGAGGUUAAGCCCGAUGAACCUGAAUAUCCGUUAUGGAAAAUUCAUCAUUAAAGUUGUAAUAUUUUAACAAUAUUAUAAUAAUAGUGUGCAUUUUUUCCAUAUAAGGACAUUGUAAUCUAUUAGCAUAUACCAAAUUUAUCAUAAAAUAUGACUUAUAGUUUAUUCAAAUUAUUAUGCUUGCAUUUUAACAUAAAAUAAAUGUCAUUAAUUUGAUAAAGUGUUGAUAAAUUAAAAUUAAUACAGUGCGUUAAUUUUUCGAAAUUAUAUAAUGGCAUAAUUAUCAUCGAUUUUUGUGUUUAUUAUAUGCAUUUGUAUGAUUAA